Molecule: ribosomal RNA, 453 nt
Filed under: Triticum aestivum (bread wheat)
Lineage: Eukaryota; Viridiplantae; Streptophyta; Magnoliopsida; Poales; Poaceae
Description: partial small subunit ribosomal RNA
Source: RNAcentral
AUGGAUGGUCUCCUACACUGGGAUUUCAAUCCCGGCCUUGCGGUUGCUGAUCAGGUACGUCGAUGGUUUGGAGAAACGGUCCAUUUCUCUCCUUCUCGCCCUACCAAGGAGUUCUUCUUGGUGGUCUCUUUCUCUUUGGCCUCCUUCCCUCUCUUUGAAGAUUCUGUGUGUGUGGCCCUUCAAUGUUGCAUUGGAAGUCAUCACAAAGGUUUUAAGGUUUCUAAGAUCAAUGAAAGAUCGUUUUGCUUCUCUGUGGCCGGGAAUAAAGUUGGUCAUUUCAUAUAUCGGCUCAAGGAUCGCAUAUGGCUAGACUUUGUUUGUCACUUCCAUCUUUUCAAUGGUCAUUUUGCUCGGUUUUCUCAUUUCAAUUCUUUGUGGCACACGGAUGAGGAACUGAAGGAUAUUUCUGCCAGGAAGCCUAUUGCGAUUAAGUCCAAUUUGGGUACAUUUUAA